UUGAGUGGAUUAACUAGUUUGAGAACCCUGUAUCUCUAUAGGAAUCAACUUUCUGGUCCUAUUCCUCCUGAGUUGGGGAAGUUGACAUCACUCCAGGACCUAGAAUGAGAACCCUGUAUCUCCAUAAGAAUCAACUUUCUGGUCCUAUUCCUCCUGAGUUGGGGAAGUUGACAUCACUCCAGGACCUAGAAUUGAGCACAAACAAUCUCACGGGUCAAAUUCCAUCUUCGUUGAGUGGAUUAACUAGUUUGAGAACCCUGUAUCUCUAUAUGAAUCAACUUUCUGGUCCUAUUCCUCCUGAGUUGGGGAAGUUGACAUCACUCCAGGACCUAGAAUUGAGCACAAACAAUCUCACGGGUCAAAUUCCAUCUUCGUUGAGUGGAUUAACUAGUUUAAAAACCUUGUAUCUCCAUACGAAUCAACUUUCUGGUCCGAUUCCUCCUGAGUUGGGAAAGUUAACAUCACUCCAGGAC
RNAcentral lists this long non-coding RNA (473 nucleotides) under Olea europaea (common olive). Its description in RNAcentral is "long non-coding RNA (OEUR_LNC014814)". The record is from RNAcentral. Lineage: Eukaryota; Viridiplantae; Streptophyta; Magnoliopsida; Lamiales; Oleaceae.